RNAcentral lists this transfer RNA (61 nucleotides) under Tenebrionoidea sp. 20 KM-2017. RNAcentral describes it as "tRNA-Cys". Lineage: Eukaryota; Metazoa; Arthropoda; Insecta; Coleoptera. The record is from RNAcentral.
GGAUCGGCAGUCGCGGAGAUUUUAAAUUGCAAGUUUAAAGGGAAAUUUUGUUUUCGGUCCU